CUCUCUCUCUCUCUCUCUCUCUCUCUAGUCACCGGCGUGUGCUCUCUCUUGUCGUCGGCGCUCUCUCCCGUCGUGGCACUCUCGUUGGGGCUUAGUCUCAACACGGUGGAAUCCGGCAUUUCAAGCAUCGGGCAUAAUUUGAAGAGAAGGAAUCCGGCGCUAUAACUCAAUUUUCCAAUCGAUUCAAUGAAUGGCAGGUUUUAUAUCUUGGCAUGUUGAAGUAGCUUUUGUAGUCUUCCACUAUAGCUUUGUUGGUCUUUCACAGUAGCUUUUUCUAGUUUUUGUGAUUAUCUUUUCUAGUCUUCGACGGUGGAGAAUGGGCUGAUGGUGAAGAUGGUGAUAGUGAUGGAGACGAUGAUGAAGACAUAGAAGAAGAACCUGCAGUGAGGACAAGAAGAUAGAAGCACACAACAGCAAGAAAAUCUAAAAAAGGCAGGGCUUCUGAAAAAGAGGAAACAAAAGGACAAGCAACAAGAAGCAAAAGGGUAAAAAAAGCUACUGCUGAUGAAGAAGAAGACCUUGAAGAGGAACCAAUUGAAGAAAUGAAGAAAGGGAAGAAGCAAGUUGUAAAGAGAAAUUCAAUGGUCGAUUGAAUCAAGAAGAAGAAAAGGAAGGUUGGUCAAGACAAGGAGUUCAUGUAUGCCAGUAAAAGAACAAGAAGAGGCAAGAGGCAUUAAAUGAUAAUUAAAACAGUAGCAUUAUGUAGUAGUGACAGUAGAUUUUUUAGUCUAUCAAAGUAGAUUUUUCAUGUCUGGACAUUAGCUUUAUGUUUGUUUAAUUUCCAGAUUUGAUAGUUGAUGGAAAAUGAUGUAGGGGUGACAGUAGUAUUUUGAAGUAUUGAAAGUGGCUUUAUGAACUGUUAGCAAUAGCUUUAUGUUUAAUUUUCAACUUUGAUAGUGGAUGGAAAUUAAUGUGUAUUUUGUUAUUUUCAGCUUUAAAUUUCUU
RNAcentral lists this long non-coding RNA (945 nucleotides) under Rosa chinensis. Its description in RNAcentral is "sRNA RchiOBHm_Chr6g0295161". The record is from RNAcentral. Lineage: Eukaryota; Viridiplantae; Streptophyta; Magnoliopsida; Rosales; Rosaceae.